AUUGAACGCUGGCGGCAGGUCUAACACAUGCAAGUCGAACGGUAACAGAAAGCAGCUUGCUGCUUUGCUGACGAGUGGCGGACGGGUGAGUAAUGUCUGGGAAACUGCCUGAUGGAGGGGGAUAACUACUGGAAACGGUAGCUAAUACCGCAUAACGUCGCAAGACCAAAGAGGGGGACCUUCGGGCCUCUUGCCAUCGGAUGUGCCCAGAUGGGAUUAGCUAGUAGGUGGGGUAAAGGCUCACCUAGGCGACGAUCCCUAGCUGGUCUGAGGGGAUGACCAGCCACACUGGAACGGGGACACGGUCCAGACUCCUACGGGAGGCAGCAGUGGGGAAUAUGGCACAAUGGGCGCAAGCCUGAUGCAGCCAUGCCGCGUGUAUGAAGAAGGCCUUCGGGUUGUAAAGUACGUUCAGCGGGGAGGAAGGGAGUAAAGUUAAUACCUUUGCUCAUUGACGUUACCCGCAGAAGAAGCACCGGCUAACUCCGUG
This 490-nucleotide ribosomal RNA is filed under the name uncultured bacterium. RNAcentral describes it as "partial 16S ribosomal RNA". It matches the Rfam family "Bacterial small subunit ribosomal RNA", at positions 30 to 507 of the family's 1533-position model. The record is from RNAcentral.